GACGAACGCUGGCGGCGUGCUUAACACAUGCAAGUCGAACGGAAAGGCCCAGCUUGCUGGGUGCUCGAGUGGCGAACGGGUGAGUAACACGUGGGUGAUCUGCCUCUAACUUCGGGAUAAGCUUGGGAAACUGGGUCUAAUACCGGAUAGGACAAUCGUUUAGUGUCGGUUGUGGAAAGUUUUUUCGGUUAGGGAUGAGCCCGCGGCCUAUCAGCUUGUUGGUGGGGUAAUGGCCUACCAAGGCGUCGACGGGUAGCCGGCCUGAGAGGGUGGACGGCCACAUUGGGACUGAGAUACGGCCCAGACUCCUACGGGAGGCAGCAGUGGGGAAUAUUGCACAAUGGGCGCAAGCCUGAUGCAGCGACGCCGCGUGGGGGAUGACGGCCUUCGGGUUGUAAACCUCCUUCGACAGGGACGAAGCUUUGGUGACGGUACCUGUAUAAGAAGCACCGGCUAACUACGUG
Molecule: ribosomal RNA, 464 nt
Filed under: uncultured bacterium
Lineage: Bacteria
Description: partial 16S ribosomal RNA
Rfam family: Bacterial small subunit ribosomal RNA
Source: RNAcentral